AUUGAACGCUGGCGGCAUGCCUUACACAUGCAAGUCGAACGGCAGCACGGGAGCAAUCCUGGUGGCGAGUGGCGAACGGUGAGUAAUGUAUCGGAACGUACCUUUCAGUGGGGGAUAACGUAGCGAAAGUUACGCUAAUACCGCAUAUUCUGUGAGCAGGAAAGCAGGGGAUCGCAAGACCUUGCGCUGAUUGAGCGGCCGAUAUCAGAUUAGCUAGUUGGUGAGGUAAAGGCUCACCAAGGCGACGAUCUGUAGCGGGUCUGAGAGGAUGAUCCGCCACACUGGAACUGAGACACGGUCCAGACUCCUACGGGAGGCAGCAGUGGGGAAUUUUGGACAAUGGGCGCAAGCCUGAUCCAGCCAUGCCGCGUGAGUGAAGAAGGCCUUCGGGUUGUAAAGCUCUUUCAGCCGGGAAGAAAACGCAUGGGUUAAUACCCUGUGUGGAUGACGGUACCGGAAUAAGAAGCACCGGCUAACUACGUG
Molecule: ribosomal RNA, 483 nt
Filed under: uncultured bacterium
Lineage: Bacteria
Description: bacterial SSU rRNA
Rfam family: Bacterial small subunit ribosomal RNA
Source: RNAcentral